UGGGGGAUAUUGCACAAUGGGCGAAAGCCUGAUGCAGCGACGCCGCGUGGGGGAUGAAGGCUUUCGGGUUGUAAACCUCUUUCGCUAUCGAACAAGGCCCGCUUAGGGUGGGUUGAGGGUAGGUGGAGAAGAAGCGCCGGCUAACUACGUGCCAGCAGCCGCGGUAAUACGUAGGGCGCGAGCGUUGUCCGGAAUUAUUGGGCGUAAAGGGCUUGUAGGCGGCUUGUUGCGCCUGCUGUGAAAACGCGGGGCUUAACUUCGCGCGUGCAGUGGGUACGGGCAGGCUUGAGUGUGGUAGGGGUGACUGGAAUUCCAGGUGUAGCGGUGGAAUGCGCAGAUAUCUGGAGGAACACCGAUGGCGAAGGCAGGUCACUGGGCCAUUACUGACGCUGUGGAGCGAAAGCAUGGGUAGCGAACAGG
This 420-nucleotide ribosomal RNA is filed under the name bacterium. RNAcentral describes it as "partial 16S ribosomal RNA". It matches the Rfam family "Bacterial small subunit ribosomal RNA", at positions 355 to 776 of the family's 1533-position model. The record is from RNAcentral.